RNAcentral lists this ribosomal RNA (392 nucleotides) under uncultured bacterium. RNAcentral describes it as "bacterial SSU rRNA". It matches the Rfam family "Bacterial small subunit ribosomal RNA", at positions 29 to 408 of the family's 1533-position model. The record is from RNAcentral.
AGCGAACGUUUGCGGCGGGCUUAACACAUGCAAGUCGAACGAGAAUCCCUUCGGGGAGGAAAGUGGCGCACGGGUGCGUAACACGUGGAUAACCAACCCAUUGGUUUAGGACAACACCGGGAAACUGGUGCUAAUACCAGAUGUGUCGCAGCUGUCUUCAGGCGGUUGCGAGAAAGGCCCGCAAGGGUCGCCAACGGACGGGUCCGCGUCCCAUCAGCUAGUUGGUGAGGUAAUGGCUCACCAAGGCAAAGACGGGUAGCUGGUCUGAGAGGAUGGAUCAGCCACACGUAGGAACUGAGACGACGGUCCAGACCUCCGUACGGGAGGCAGCAGGUGGGAAUUAUUGCGACAAGUGGGACGAAAGCCUGACGCACGCCACGCCGCGUGAGCGA